UACGGAGGGUGCGAGCGUUGUCCGGAAUCAUUGGGCGUAAAGGGCGCGUAGGUGGCCCGGUCAGUUCGUGGUGAAAGCGCGGGGCUCAACCCUGCGUCGGCCAUGAAUACUGCCGCGGCUGGAGCACUGUAGAGGCAGGCGGAAUUCCGGGUGUAGCGGUGGAAUGCGUAGAGAUCCGGAAGAACACCGGUGGCGAAGGCGGGCUGCUGGGCCGAUGCUGGACGCUGAG
Molecule: ribosomal RNA, 229 nt
Filed under: uncultured bacterium
Lineage: Bacteria
Description: partial 16S ribosomal RNA
Rfam family: Bacterial small subunit ribosomal RNA
Source: RNAcentral